Molecule: ribosomal RNA, 478 nt
Filed under: uncultured bacterium
Lineage: Bacteria
Description: partial 16S ribosomal RNA
Rfam family: Bacterial small subunit ribosomal RNA
Source: RNAcentral
GACGAACGCUGGCGGCGUGCUUAACACAUGCAAGUCGAACGGUAAGGCCCUUCGGGGUACACGAGCGGCAAACGGGUGAGUAACACGUGGGUGAUCUGCCCUGCACUUCGGGAUAAGCCUGGGAAACUGGGUCUAAUACCGGAUAGGACCACUGCCUGCAUGGGUGGUGGUGGAAAGCUUUUGCGGUGUGGGAUGGGCCCGCGGCCUAUCAGCUUGUUGGUGGGGUGAUGGCCUACCAAGGCGACGACGGGUAGCCGGCCUGAGAGGGUGACCGGCCACACUGGGACUGAGAGACGGCCCAGACUCCUACGGGAGGCAGCAGUGGGGAAUAUUGCACAAUGGGCGCAAGCCUGAUGCAGCGACGCCGCGUGAGGGAUGACGGCCUUCGGGUUGUAAACCUCUUUCAGCACCGACGAAGCGCAAGUGACGGUAGGUGUAGAAGAAGGACCGGCCAACUACGUGCCAGCAGCCGCCGUAA